AGUUUCUUUACCUAGGAGUUCCUUAUAUCAAAGAAGUCACCUAUUCUUAGAAUGAAGACUCCAAGUUCAACAUUGCUACAUCUAGCUUCUUCAAUAACCAAAGCCUACUAGCAACUGGUGAGAUUUUUCAAUAUCUCCUCAGGGAUCACUGAUGAUGGCUCAGAAAUCACAUCUACCAGUUCUUUUGGUUGUUCAUCUAGGCCAGGUGACUUGAAUUCACCAAGAACUUUCCUGCCUCCUAACUUAUCUUGGGUUGCUGAGUUUUACGGCAAAAAUUAUUUCUUUUGAUUCAAAGAAGCCUCUCUUUGAAACAACUGUCAUUCUCUAGCUGAUAAAACAGGAACUUCCAGGUGCAUAGCUAAUUUAAUUCAAAGGCCAUACAUGAGAUGCCAUUUCACUUCCCUGAACUUUGAAAAAAAACAGGGUCUGCUAAAAAAAAAAAAUUCUAUUUAAAUUUACAUUCCCUUCUAAAGGAAUUUCCUCUGACUAGGAUUGAGUACAGUGGCAGGCAACCAAAGGACACUCAGGAAAUGCUU
Molecule: long non-coding RNA, 536 nt
Filed under: Monodelphis domestica (gray short-tailed opossum)
Lineage: Eukaryota; Metazoa; Chordata; Mammalia; Didelphimorphia; Didelphidae
Description: lncRNA (ENSMODG00000043080.1)
Source: RNAcentral